This 386-nucleotide long non-coding RNA is filed under the name Brassica rapa (field mustard). RNAcentral's name for it is "long non-coding RNA (BRAP_LNC005647)". The record is from RNAcentral. Lineage: Eukaryota; Viridiplantae; Streptophyta; Magnoliopsida; Brassicales; Brassicaceae.
UAUUUACGUCAAUUUACCUUACGAGGUCUUUACGACGAUUCGGUCCUACGUGGAAUAAACGAGUGCCACCUUCGUCAUUUACUUUACGUGGCAUUUACGUCAAUUUACUUUACGAGGUCUUUACGACGAUUCUGUCCUACGUGGAAUAAACGAGGAUUACGUCGUACAUUCGACGUCAGAUUACGAGGAAUUAACGAGCAGUACGUUUAAAUCCCUAAAAUCCGAAACCCCAAACCCCAAAACCCCAUAUUCCUUAUCUUCUACUUCAUAUAUUCCAAACCCCAUCUUUAUUUUCAUUCCAAACCACAAUUCCCACAUUUACUUAUUUAUAAAACAAACUCCCACAAUUUCUUAUUCAUAAAACAAACUCCCACAUUACCUUAUUC